CAUAAAUCGAUGAGUAAGAAGAGUAAAUAUUGGUGAAUGUCACAGAGAGUUAGACAAUGGUGGGAGUCUAAUACAGGAACCUUUAUCGAAUGGGCUUACGAGAGGCAUCUUGAACAGUAAAGUAGGGAUGCACGGAUUUCCACCGUUAAAAGGAUAGGGUAUCGGAAUUAUAUGCAACUAAUUCUCGUAUCCGAAAAGUGGGAUUCAGUUAAAUCUGAUCCAAUCUGAGGUGGUACCGCGGUAGCAACUAAUCGUCCUCUAU
Molecule: non-coding RNA, 262 nt
Filed under: Bacillus sp. (in: firmicutes)
Lineage: Bacteria; Bacillati; Bacillota; Bacilli; Caryophanales; Bacillaceae
Description: Bacillus sp. T-box sequence
Rfam family: T-box leader
About the family: Uncharged tRNA acts as the effector for transcription antitermination of genes in the T-box leader family. T-boxes are found upstream of many aminoacyl-tRNA synthetase genes and some amino acid biosynthetic genes usually in Gram-positive bacteria. The anticodon of a specific tRNA base pairs to a specifier sequence within the T-box motif, and the NCCA acceptor tail of the tRNA base pairs to a conserved bulge in the T-box antiterminator hairpin.
Source: RNAcentral